AGCGAACGCUGGCGGCAGGCUUAACACAUGCAAGUCGAGCGGGCACUUUCGGGUGUCAGCGGCGGACGGGUGAGUAACGCGUGGGAACGUGCCCUCUGGUUCGGAAUAACUCAGGGAAACUUGAGCUAAUACCGGAUACGCCCUUUUGGGGAAAGGCUUGCUGCCGGAGGAUCGGCCCGCGUCUGAUUAGCUAGUUGGUGAGGUAACGGCUCACCAAGGCGACGAUCAGUAGCUGGUCUGAGAGGAUGAUCAGCCACACUGGGACUGAGACCCGGCCCAGACUCCUACGGGAGGAAGCAGUGGGGAAUAUUGGACAAUGGGCGCAAGCCUGAUCCAGCCCUGCCGCGUGAGUUAUGAAGGGCUUAGGGUUGUAAAGCCCUUUUAACCGGGACGAUAAUGACGGUAACGGAGGAAUAAGCCCCGGCUAACUUCGUG
Molecule: ribosomal RNA, 435 nt
Filed under: uncultured bacterium
Lineage: Bacteria
Description: partial 16S ribosomal RNA
Rfam family: Bacterial small subunit ribosomal RNA
Source: RNAcentral